This 440-nucleotide ribosomal RNA is filed under the name uncultured bacterium. RNAcentral describes it as "partial 16S ribosomal RNA". It matches the Rfam family "Bacterial small subunit ribosomal RNA", at positions 338 to 795 of the family's 1533-position model. The record is from RNAcentral.
CCUACGGGGGUCAGCAGUGGGGAAUCUUGCACAAUGGGGGAAACCCUGAUGCAGCGCCGCCGCGUGAGUGAAGAAGUAUUUCGUUAUGUAAAGCUCUAUCAGCAGGGAAGAAAAUGACGGUACCUGAGUAAGAAGCCCAGGCUAACUACGUGCCAGCAGCCGCGGUAAUACGUAGGGAGCAAGCGUUAUCCGGAUUUACUGGGUGUAAAGGGAGCGUAGACGGCAGCGCAAGUCUGGAGUGACAGGCCAUGGCUUAACCCUCGAACUGCUGUGGAAACUGUACAGCUGGAGUGCAGGAGAGGUAAGUGGAAUUCCUAGUGUAGCGGUGAAAUGCGUAGAUAUUAGGAGGAACACCAGUGGCGAAGGCGGCUUACUGGACUGUAACUGACGUUGAGGCUCGAAAGCGUGGGGAGCAAACAGGAUUAGAUACCCUAGUAGUC